This 469-nucleotide ribosomal RNA is filed under the name uncultured bacterium. RNAcentral's name for it is "partial 16S ribosomal RNA". It matches the Rfam family "Bacterial small subunit ribosomal RNA", at positions 28 to 523 of the family's 1533-position model. The record is from RNAcentral.
GACGAACGCUGGCGGCGUGCUUAACACAUGCAAGUCGAACGAAAAAUCAUUGAAAGCUUGCUGAUAUGAUUUUUAGUGGCGGACGGGUGAGUAACGCGUGAGGACUUGUCUUAUACAGGGGGACAACAGUUGGAAACGGCUGCUAAUACCCCAUAAGCCUUCGGGUAAAAGGAGCAAUCCGGUAUUCGAGAGACUCGCGUCCUAUCAGCUAGUAGGUGAGGUAACGGCUCACCUAGGCGAAGACGGGUAGCCGGCCUGAGAGGGCGAACGGCCACACUGGAACUGAGACGCGGUCCAGACUCCUACGGGAGGCAGCAGUGGGGAAUAUUGGGCAAUGGGGGCAACCCUGACCCAGCGACGCCGCGUGAGUGAAGAAAUCCCUCGGGAUGUAAAGCUCUGUUGUGUGGGAAGAUAAUGACGGUACCACACGAGGAAGCCCCGGCAAACUACGUGCCAGCCGCCGCGGUAA